GAGCGGCCGAGCGGGCAGUGCCUGAGCCGGUCCUGUCCACAGGGAGCUCCUGCCCGUUUCUCCAGAACCAGCCCCAGAGACCAUCCACCCACCAUGUCGGACGAGGAAGUAGAACACGUCGAGGAAGAGUACGAGGAGGAAGAAGAGGCCCAGGAGGAAGCGCCCCCCCCGCCUGCAGAAGUCCAUGAGGUCCAUGAAGAAGUCCAUGAAGUUCAUGAACCAGAGGAAGUUCAAGAAGAGGAGAAGCCGAGACCCAAACUCACUGCUCCUAAGAUCCCGGAAGGGGAGAAAGUCGACUUUGAUGACAUCCAGAAGAAGCGCCAGAAUAAGGACCUUAUGGAGCUGCAGGCCCUCAUCGACAGCCACUUCGAGGCUCGGAAGAAGGAGGAAGAGGAGCUGGUCGCUCUCAAGGAGAGAAUCGAGAAGCGCCGUGCCGAGAGAGCCGAGCAGCAGAGGAUCCGGGCUGAGAAGGAGCGGGAGCGCCAGAACAGGCUGGCGGAGGAGAAGGCCCGGCGGGAGGAGGAGGAAGCCAAGAGAAGGGCGGAGGACGACCUGAAGAAAAAGAAGGCGCUGUCCUCCAUGGGCGCCAACUACAGCAGCUACCUGGCCAAGGCCGAUCAGAAGCGAGGCAAGAAGCAGACGGCCCGGGAGAUGAAGAAGAAGGUGCUGGCCGAGCGGAGGAAGCCCCUCAACAUCGACCACCUCAGUGAGGACAAGCUGAGGGACAAGGCCAAGGAGCUCUGGGACGCCCUGUACCAGCUGGAGAUUGACAAGUUCGAGUACGGGGAGAAGCUGAAGCGCCAGAAAUACGACGUGAGUGGGGCACCUCCUGCCUCGCCUGCCAGUGGGGUCCCCCACCCCAGGCCCCUGGGACCCCCACCGCCUGCCGGGAACAUGCCGGGGCCUCCUCCAGGCUGGCCUCCCCCUCAGCCCCGCCCCGGGGCCGGCGGGAGGGCGCCACGGGCCAGUGUCCUCAGGGCCCUAGAAGGCCCGUGUGAGUCCUGAACCCACCCAGUGGCCCUAAGUUCCUCCCCAGAGCCCGCUCUGCCCACCCACCCCGGCCAUGCCCACUCUGGGGUGGGCGCCGGGGAUGUCCGAGAGCCCUGGGCAGACUCUGUCCCUGGGGGUCCUCCCCAGCCUGGGGGUGUGGGUGCCAGUCCUGGGGACUCAUCGGCCUGUUGAAACCUGGCCCGCUCCUGCCUUGCCAACGCAAAGGCGUGGUGCCCACACUUCCUGCUGCUCCAGGGUCCCUGGGGAGGGACUUUCUGCUCCCAGGGCGCCUCCUCCAGCUUCCCCUACGGGCCAGCGAGUCGGAGGGUGCCGGCAAGCAGUGCGACAGCCGCGUGAAUCCUGAUGCCUCCUCAGGGGCCCGAGGGCGAGUUGCCUGGUCCUUCUGCGUCUCCAUUUCCCAUAACUGAGGGAGGACUGGCUGCCGCCAGGGGCACCCGCCGGCCAGCAGGGCCACACAGCUGGCAGGACUGCUCUCUGCCGGUUGCGCCCUGGGAGGGCCGGCCCCCUAAGCAGCCUGACGGCCCAGAGCCAGACGUCCCCACUGUGUCCAUGGGUUGAGCCAAGGGCGCGCCGCCUCCUGACACACCCGUGCACGGCCCCCGGAGGGUCCCCGGGAGUUAGGGGACCCAGCAGGGCCCCGGCCCAGGCUAGCGCAGUGCAGGCCAGGGCGUCUGAGCCUCCGCCUCACCCACCAGCCCCGUAACCGUCUUGGUCUUUCUAGAUCAUGAACGUCCGGGCCAGAGUGGAGAUGCUAGCCAAGUUCAGCAAGAAGGCCGGGACGACGCCCAAGGGCAAGGUUGGCGGAAGGUGGAAGUAACGUGGCUGAAGAGAUUCCCAGAGGCAGAGACCCACACGGUGGCAUCUGGCCCCGGCAGCCCUGCGUCUCUAUCCUCGCUCCCCA
Molecule: non-coding RNA, 1912 nt
Organism: Sus scrofa (pig)
Lineage: Eukaryota; Metazoa; Chordata; Mammalia; Artiodactyla; Suidae
Source: RefSeq, a predicted model, not a curated record